AGAGUUGAUCAUGGCUCAGGAUGAACGCUGGCGGCGUGCUUAACACAUGCAAGUCGAACGGAGCUUAGAAGGAAGCUUGCUUCAUUAAGCUUAGUGGCGGACGGGUGAGUAACGCGUGAGCAACCUGCCCUCGAGUGGGGAAUAACAUCGAGAAAUCGGUGCUAAUACCGCAUAAUGUCGAGAGACCGCAUGAUCUUUCGACCAAAGGAUUUAUUCGCUUGAGGAUGGGCUCGCGUCCGAUUAGCUAGUUGGUGAGGUAACGGCCCACCAAGGCUUCGAUCGGUAGCCGAACUGAGAGGUUGAUCGGCCACAUUGGGACUGAGACACGGCCCAGACUCCUACGGGAGGCAGCAGUGGGGAAUAUUGGGCAAUGGGCGAAAGCCCUGACCCAGCAACGCCGCGUGAAGGAUGAAGGUCUUCGGAUUGUAAACUUCUUUGACUGGGGAAGAAUAAAAUGACCUACCCAAAGAACAAGCCACGGCUAACUACGUGCCAGCAGCCGC
RNAcentral lists this ribosomal RNA (503 nucleotides) under uncultured bacterium. RNAcentral describes it as "bacterial SSU rRNA". It matches the Rfam family "Bacterial small subunit ribosomal RNA", at positions 8 to 518 of the family's 1533-position model. The record is from RNAcentral.